Non-coding RNA from Amborella trichopoda, 4725 nucleotides. The record is from RefSeq and is a predicted model, not a curated record. NCBI's taxonomy places the organism in Eukaryota, Viridiplantae, Streptophyta, Magnoliopsida, Amborellales, Amborellaceae.
AGUAUUUUCGUUCACUACAUUUUUGAUAUACCACAACAUUUGUGUUGUUUUCUUGUCUUUCAAAUUAUCUUUAUUUGAAAAUGAUAUUCUUUAUGAGCAUUGUAUGCUAGAAACAUGUCAUGCUCAUAUUUUGCCUCUUUUUUUUCUGCGACCUUAAUCAAAGUCCUUUUAUGGUGUAUCUGCAGUGUCCUAUUUAGUACCCUUUCUUGGCUAUUUUCAAGGGAGAGAAAAGGAAAAAGGAUAAAUGAAUGAAGAAUUAUUUAGAGAUGUACUAGUUGGAGAGUACUACAUGCACUGGUCCAAUGAAAGCAACCCCCAAAAUAGGAAGGAUAAACAAAAUUACUUACGCCGCACUUGUGUUUCCUAUGACAUGUGAGAUGGAUUGCUUGAGCAAUGUAGCUGCAAUGCGUGAUAUAGUUUUUCAAGUGGAUUUCCUGGCUCGCAUGCUCCUAUUCCACCUGGUGCUAGCUUUGGUUAUCAUCCUAGUGGUUGGGGCAAGCCUCCUGUUGAUGAAUUCAGACGCCCACUAUAUGGUGACGUUUUUGGUGUCCAACAACAAGAACAACCUAAUUAUGAGGUAUGGAGAUAUGCAUAUGGGAAAGCUUUCUAUGUAACCCCACCCACAUAUGGAGAGAUUUUAGGGAAAGGGAGAAGUGAAGGGUGCAAUACAUGUGCUGGUUAGGAACUAAAGUCGAGUGCGGUAAGUUAAAAAUUUUGGUUUACAUUGGUCAUCUUUUGGGAGCUUUAAUUUGAAUCAAAAUUAUCCUUUGGAUUUUAUACAUAUCGAAUUUAAUUGUCUUGAAUUGAUGGUAUGAGGAUAGAGGUGCACAUGCAUUUCCAAGUUAAUUAGUAUCUAAGAAAAAUAUAUUGUGUAUUUAUUUUUUAUCAAAACUCCCCUAAUAGUAACACUCAUCAAAAUGAAAAAGGCCUUGCAACAGAUGAAUGCACAAAUUAAAGAGGCUUAGUCCAUAGUACUUGCUUUUAAAAUUGGCUUGGAUUUAUUGCCUUUUCAUUUUUUCUGGUUGACGAUUAGUUGUUUUUUCUUUUGUUUGUGACUAAGUAGAUGAUUUUCAUGCAUUUCAACUGGCAUGGAUUUAUGCCUUUUCAUUUUUCCUAGUUGAAGAUCAAAUUCUGCUUUCCUUUGUUUGUUACUAAGUAGAUGAUUUUCAUUCAUUUCAAUUUCAUUUCUACCAGCGUCGACAAUAAAAUCCGCUCUUCUUGGGCAUAAUGUACAACCAACUAUUAAAAUUAUUGGAUAUUUAUCACAUUGGAUUGAUUGAGAGGGUUCUGCUAUGAACUUUAAUUAUAUGGGGGAUACUAUUUUCAUAAGGAAACUUGACAUUGUAUCUCAAUUUAAUGAAAGGGUGGCCCAUGAUUAUCAUCUUUUUUGGGUUAUCUAUGGUAUUUAUUAUUUUGCAUGAGAAUUUGGUUAAAUGAAUAAGAACUUGCAAAAUGGGAACUAGGUUUCACGCAUGCUAAUUUAAUUGUAUGAGGAAUAGGGUAUAAGGGUGUAUUUUGGUCAAUAUCAAGGGCCCACAAGUGGGUUUAAAUGUACUGUACAGAUGCAGUUAUUGAUGUUAUUUUGAUUUAUGGAAUUGAAACACAUUCCCUCCUACUUUGGUGUACUAGGGAAGGCCCCUACUUUGUGUAGCGGUGCAGCCCUACUUCGAGUAGUGACGUGGUUCGGGCUAGAAAGGCCCUUGUUCCUUUCCCUUUCUUGAUGGUGAUCUAGGAUGUUUUCCUCUUGUUGAUCGACCGGCAUGAUCGACGGGUUGUUUUGUUGAAUCGGUCUCGGAUCUGUCCUUUCUGGGUGUUGGUUUUGCACCACUGUGCAUUAAAAUUGGGGCUUUGCAAUCAACCGACGAGCACGUAAACUGUUAUGAGAACAACUCAAGGACAUGAUCGUUGUAUGUUUGAUGGAGUAAUUGUGAUAUGCUCGAUUCAGCAACUUGAACAUGCUAGAAUUGCCUAAUUUCAGCCAUUUACACUGGUUGAAAUUGCCUCAGUUUAGCAACAAGUUUCUAAGCGUAGUGAUAAUUUGAUGAAAUGAGGGUUUCUCUAUGGUCUGUCUAUUUAAGACCACAAAAAAAAUUAUGCUCGCACAACGAGAUUACCUCUCCUUUGGUUAUGAGGUGAAUUAUAAAUGCAAUUGGAUACAAUCCACCUUUGUCAUGAACGACCAAAAAUCAUUCAGAGCGGGUUGGCUUCACCUCAUCCACGAGAUCCUCAAAUCUCCUUUGAUUUGACCUUUUUUACAUCCCUCGUACACCACUUGCUCAAUUCUCAUUAGAUCAUUUUAUUCCCUCACAUAUAACUUUGUCACCACCACAUCCAUGAACUUGACCUCUCUAACCGCCAUCGAGCAAACUUAGAGCAAAUGCUCAUGUGCUUUGGGAACGGGCCUGCUCCAAUAUUAGAUGGUAUGGUGAAAAGAAAAAAGAGGAAUAGAGAAAUCACAUUGGAUUGAUUUAGAGGGUUCUGGUACGAACUUUAGUUAUAUGGGGGAUACUAUUUUCAUAAGAAAAACUGACAUUGUAUCUCAAUUUAAUGAAAGGGUGGCCCAUGAUUAUCAUCUUUUUUGGGUUAUCUAUGGUAUCUAUUAUUUUGCUUGAGAAUUUGGUUAAAUAUAUGGGGACUUGCAAAAUGGGAACUAGGUUUCACGUAUGUUGAUUUAAUUGUAUGGGGAAUAGGAUAUAAGGGUAGGUUGGUCAUUGUACUAUUUUGUUAGAGGUAUUUUGGUUAAUAUCAAGGGUCCGCAACUGGGUUUAAAUGUACUGUACAGACGCUGUUAUUGAUGUUAUUUUGAUUUAUGGAAUUAAAAAACAUUCCCUCCUACUUUGGUGUAGUAGAGAUGGCCCCUACUUUGUGUAGAGGUGCUGCCCUUCUGAGUACUGACGUGGUUAGGGCUGGAAAGGCCCCUUGUUCCUUUCCCUUACUUGAUGGUGAUCUCGGAUGUUUUCCUCUUGUUGAUCGACCAGCAUGAUCGGCGGGUUGUCGUUAUUGAAUCGGUCUCGGAUCUCUCCUUUCUGGGUGUUGGUUUUGCACUGCUGUGCCGACGAGUACGUAAACUGUUAUGAGAACAACUCAAGGACAUGGUCGCUGUAUGUUUGAUGGAGUAAUUGUGAUAUGCUCGAUUCAAUCACUUAAACAUACUAGAAUUGCCUAAUUUCAUCCAUUUGCACUCGUUGAAAUUGCCUCAGUUUAGCGGCAAGUUGCUAAGUGCAGUGAUAAUUUGAUGAGAUAAGGGUUUCUCUAUGGUCUGUCUAUUUAAGACCACAAAAAAAAUUAUUCUCACACAACGAGGUUACCUCUCCUUUGGUUAUGAGGUGAAUUAUAACUGCAAUUGGAUACAGAUCCGCCUUUGUCAUGAGCGACCAAACAUCAUUCAGAGCAAGUUGGCUUCACCUCAUCCACCAGAUCCUCAAAUCUCCUUGUCCAAUGAUGCUUCUGUCAACUGAACAUUCCAAUUGCAAGUGAUGUGGAACAACGCUGAAUUGCUUCUACGAGAUCGACCGCAUUAGGCUGCCUCGUAAUUCCCCCAUUCAUCUCAAGACCAUUUGUGUUGUGCAGAUAAAUUACUACAGAGAAAUUUAUGGGAUUUUGAGAGUAAGACUGCUCCAUACCAUAUGGGUUGUUGCAGUCAGAAUAGAGUAGCAGAUGCUUUGAGUAGAAGGUCGACUCUAUUAACUACCAUGGUGACUGCUAUUACUGGGUUCGAGUUUAUGAAGGAUCUUUAUGCAGAUGAUGACGACUUUAGGGAGGAUAUGGGACCAGUGUUACAGUGAAGUUGUUGGGGAUUUUUUUAGUCAAGAUGGAGUUUUCUUCAAAGGAAACCAUCUUUGUAUUUCUAUAGGUUUCCUUAGAGAAACCCUAAUAGCAGAGCUCCAUGGGGAAGGUCUUGGUGGACAUUUUGGUCGAGACAAAACUAUAGUAUUGGUGGAGUCUAAGUUCUAUUGGCCAAAAAUGAAGAGAGAUGUUCUACGGUUUGUUGAGAGGUGUCAUACGUGUCAACUGGCUAAGGGGCAACGACAAAAUACAGAGCUCUACGCUCCACUUCCUAUUCCUAAUGCACCUUGGGAGGUUGUUAGCAUGGAUUUUCUUCUGGAACUUCUGCAGACUCAAAGUGGUAUGGAUUCUAUAUCCAUAUUGGUGGAUAGAUUCUCAAAGAUGGCUCAUUUUAUACCUCGCAAGAAGACUCUGGAUGCCACAAAUGUUGCUAACUUGUACUUCAAAGAGGUGGUGAGGUUUGCAUGGUGUUCCAAAGACGAUAACUUCAAAUCGGGAUACGAAGUUUCUCAGCCAUUUUUGGGUAACUUUGUGGAAGAAAUUGGGCACUCGGUUACAAUUUAGUAGUGCUUAUCAUCUGCAGACUAUAAUAGCGUGUGCAAUAGAUCUAUUGGUAAAAGAAGAAACAAUGGGAUCUAGCACUGCCUCAGACUGAGUUUGCCUAUAAUAGCCUAUGCAAUAGAUCUACUGGAGUCUGAGGGUAAGCUGAAGGGAAUCUUGGGCUACAUUGAGGACGACGUGGUCUCCAUCAACUUUGUUGUGGAUUGCAGGUAUGUAGGUUCAAUCUCAACUUAUUGUAUUCCUUCUACAUGGGGACUAGUAAUGAGCACAGAUGUUGUAGGACUAUCUUUGGUUGGUUGGUUUGUCUAGGAGUUGGGCUUGGGCUUGGGCUUGAGUGGUUAGUGCCACAUCUCAAGUUCGAUUCCUACCACUGAAAUA